RNAcentral lists this ribosomal RNA (450 nucleotides) under uncultured bacterium. RNAcentral describes it as "partial 16S ribosomal RNA". It matches the Rfam family "Bacterial small subunit ribosomal RNA", at positions 354 to 796 of the family's 1533-position model. The record is from RNAcentral.
GUGGGGAAUCUUCCGCAAUGGACGAAAGUCUGACGGAGCAACGCCGCGUGAACGAUGACGGCCUUCGGGUUGUAAAGUUCUGUUAUACGGGACGAAUGGUACGACGGCCAAUACCCGUCGUAAGUGACGGUACCGUAAGAGAAAGCCACGGCUAACUACGUGCCAGCAGCCGCGGUAAUACGUAGGUGGCAAGCGUUGUCCGGAAUUAUUGGGCGUAAAGGGCGCGCAGGCGGCGUCGUAAGUCGGUCUUAAAAGUGCGGGGCUUAACCCCGUGAGGGGACCGAAACUGCGAUGCCAGAGUAUCGGAGAGGAAAGCGGAAUUCCUAGUGUAGCGGUGAAAUGCGUAGAUAUUAGGAGGAACACCAGUGGCGAGAGCGGCUUUCUGGACGACAACUGACGCUGAGGCGCGAAAGCCAGGGGAGCAAACGGGAUUAGAUACCCGAGUAGUCC